AGACGGUCCAAACGUUAUUCGGAAUCACUGGGCUUAAAGAGUUCGUAGGCGGUCAGGAAAGUGGGGUGUGAAAGCCCUCGGCUUAACCGAGGAAUUGCGCUCCAAACUCCCUGACUUGAGGAGGCUAGAGGUAAGCGGAACUGAUGGUGGAGCGGUGAAAUGCGUUGAUAUCAUCAGGAACACCGGAGGCGAAGGCGGCUUACUGGGGCCUUUCUGACGCUGAGGAACGAAAGCUAGGGGAGCGAACGGGAUUAGAUACCCCGGUAGUCCUAGCCGUAAACGGUGAGCACUGGGCCGGAGUUCUGCAUAGGAUUUCGGCCGUAGCGAAAGUGUUAAGUGCUCCGCCUGGGGAGUAUGGUCGCAAGGCUG
Molecule: ribosomal RNA, 369 nt
Filed under: uncultured bacterium
Lineage: Bacteria
Description: bacterial SSU rRNA
Rfam family: Bacterial small subunit ribosomal RNA
Source: RNAcentral